CAGGGCUAUGGGGGAGGGUUCAGGGCUAUAGUGUGGGGACCAGGGCUAUGGGGAGGGGGCUGUGGGGUGGGGCCAACCCUCACCCUGCCCCAUCCACCGCCCCCGUGGGCCCCCCGGCCUGGGGACGCAGCUGAAGCCCUUCCCUGCACCCUCGGCCAGACUGAACCCGCUCGGUGUUGGGGUGGGUGGCUGUUCCCGACCCUGAGCUCAGCCCAGCUAAACCAGAGCAAACACCGCCAGGAGCCGCCCCGGGGGCCGGGGUGGGAUUUAACCCGGGUUUAACCCAAACUGGAUUAUCUGCAAGGUCACAGAAGCGCAGGCUCUGCCCACAGCGGGCUGUUCCCGGCGGGAACAAAACCAAAACACCAAACCACGCCCGGAGGGAGAAACUGUUCCCGGGGAAUCCCCGCUGGUGAUCCCACUGUGGAUCCUUCCUUCAUCCCUGUGUUUGUGGCUCUGGGUGCCGCUGUGGUGUCCCAGGGGUUGAUCCCUGUGCCCAUGCCACCAGAGGAGCAGUGCCAGGAGCUGUUCCACAGCCCCCUCCGUUUGGGGUGGGGGUCCAGGGUCCACCUCAUCCUGCCCACGGCAGCCCCUUCCUCGGCAGUGAGUGUCCAUGUCCCAGGAGGAGGAAUUGUUGUUGUGCUGCAGAAUUAAACCUCGUGGAGCAGCCUGA
Long non-coding RNA from Pseudopipra pipra, 673 nucleotides. RefSeq lists it as uncharacterized. Lineage: Eukaryota; Metazoa; Chordata; Aves; Passeriformes; Pipridae. The transcript is spliced from 2 exons. The record is from RefSeq and is a predicted model, not a curated record.